Acanthosepion pharaonis is the source of this 113-nucleotide non-coding RNA. Lineage: Eukaryota; Metazoa; Mollusca; Cephalopoda; Sepiida; Sepiidae. The record is from the annotation of a GenBank genome assembly.
UACGACUGUAUCACAUUGAAACACCGUAUCUCGUAAGAUCACCGAAGUUAAGCAACGUCGAGCCAGGUCAGGACCUAGAGGGGUGACCGCUUGAGAAUACGAGCUGCUGUAAG